CGGGUGUAGCUCAAUGGUAGAGUUCUGGCCUUCCAAGCCAGCUGUGAGGGUUCGAUCCCCUUCACCCGCUCCA
Molecule: transfer RNA, 73 nt
Filed under: Clostridioides difficile
Lineage: Bacteria; Bacillati; Bacillota; Clostridia; Peptostreptococcales; Peptostreptococcaceae
Description: tRNA-Gly
Rfam family: tRNA
About the family: Transfer RNA (tRNA) molecules are approximately 80 nucleotides in length. Their secondary structure includes four short double-helical elements and three loops (D, anti-codon, and T loops).
Source: RNAcentral